This 76-nucleotide small nucleolar RNA is filed under the name Caenorhabditis japonica. RNAcentral's name for it is "snoRNA CJA48624". It matches the Rfam family "Caenorhabditis snoRNA ceN53". Lineage: Eukaryota; Metazoa; Nematoda; Chromadorea; Rhabditida; Rhabditidae. The record is from Rfam by way of RNAcentral.
UGGCAAUGAUUGAUUAUCAUUGAGCCAAUCCUUUUCUGAAGUCAUUAGUGAGGAUGGAUAUGAUAGGUCUGAGCCA